Molecule: non-coding RNA, 83 nt
Organism: Macrolepiota fuliginosa MF-IS2
Lineage: Eukaryota; Fungi; Basidiomycota; Agaricomycetes; Agaricales; Agaricaceae
Source: the annotation of a GenBank genome assembly
GGCGCUAUAGUGUAGUGGUUAUCACUCAGGAUUCUGAUCUACUGGAUUUUCCUGAAACCCAGGUUCGAGCCCUGGUAGCGCCU